CUCCGGUUGAUCCUGCCGGACCCGACUGCUAUCAGAGUGGGACUAAGCCAUGCGAGUCAACAUAGCAAUAUGUGGCAUACGGCUCAGUAACACGUAGUCAACAUGCCCAGGGGACGUGGAUAACCUCGGGAAACUGAGGAUAAACCGCGAUAAGUCACUACUUCUGGAAUGGGUAAUGACUCAAAUCUACAUGGCCCCUGGAUUGGACUGCGGCCGAUCAGGCUGUUGGUGAGGUAAUGGCCCACCAAACCUGUAACCGGUACGGGCUCUGAGAGGAGGAGCCCGGAGAUGGGCACUGAGACAAGGGCCCAGGCCCUAUGGGGCGCAGCAGGCGCGAAACCUCUGCAAUAGGCGAAAGCCUGACAGGGUUACUCUGAGUGAUUUCCGUUAAGGAGAUCUUUUGGCACCUCUAAAAAUGGUGCAGAAUAAGGGGUGGGCAAGUCUGGUGUCAGCCGCCGCGGUAAUACCAGCACCCCGAGUGGUCGGGACGUUUAUUGGGCCUAAAGCAUCCGUAGCCGGUUCUACAAGUCUUCCGUUAAAUCCACCUGCUUAACAGAUGGGCUGCGGAAGAUACUAUAGAGCUAGGAGGCGGGAGAGGCAAGCGGUACUCGAUGGGUAGGGGUAAAAUCCGUUGAUCCAUUGAAGACCACCAGUGGCGAAGGCGGCUUGCCAGAACGCGCUCGACGGUGAGGGAUGAAAGCUGGGGGAGCAAACCGGAUUAGAUACCCGGGUAGUCCCAGCUGUAAACGAUGCAGACUCGGUGAUGAGUUGGCUUCUUGCCAACUCAGUGCCGCAGGGAAGCCGUUAAGUUUGCCGCCUGGGGAGUACGGUCGCAAGACUGAAACUUAAAGGAAUUGGCGGGGAGCA
This 867-nucleotide ribosomal RNA is filed under the name uncultured archaeon. RNAcentral's name for it is "bacterial SSU rRNA". It matches the Rfam family "Archaeal small subunit ribosomal RNA", at positions 1 to 878 of the family's 1478-position model. The record is from RNAcentral.